This 926-nucleotide long non-coding RNA is filed under the name Erythranthe guttata (spotted monkey flower). RNAcentral's name for it is "long non-coding RNA (EGUT_LNC003631)". Lineage: Eukaryota; Viridiplantae; Streptophyta; Magnoliopsida; Lamiales; Phrymaceae. The record is from RNAcentral.
UAAUUAUCGCCUCAAGGAUGCAACGAUGGGAGACGUUGAUGGAUUAGGUGUUGAAAAACGUAAUGUUGAGACGAUGAACGGGAUAUGAAAUUGUAAAAAUGGGAAUCUGUGAAACUGAAUGGAGGAAGAAGAGAAAUAAGUAUGGAUAAAAGAGAAAGAGGAAAAUGUUAUCGGCAAAUAAAAUUCUAGUCAAGAAAUUGAUUUAAAUAAUAAAUACAAGUUGAGUCUUUUUAUUUUCUAUAAAAUUAAUUACUUGACUCAGACCCAUUACCGUACAAAAUUGAAAAAAAUAGUACCCAUGAAAAUAUUAUUAUCUUUUUCAAAAUCCAAAACCAUUUUUUUACACACAGUCGCCUUAAAUGGAUCAUAUCUGUGUUUAAAGCCCAUGAAGGAUGAACACUUGUCAUGUAAGUUCUUUUGUUAACUCUUUAAGAGCCAGUUUGAUAUGAAUGAUAUGUGAAGUGUUAUGAACUAUAUACUUCUUAUUUUACAAAUUUAUAAUACUAAGUCCUUCAAAAUGUUAAACCAAUAUGUUUUAACAAUAAAUAAUAAAUAAUGACAAGAAUAAACUUACAUACCCCUUCUUUCAUCUAAUGGAGCCAUUUUGAUAUUCUUAAUAUUGAUACUUAUAAUUUGUUCUUUUAAUAGAUGACAUUCUCAAUGGUCUAGAAUAAUAAAUAAACUUUUUGAGAUUUACUUAGUUAGUCCAUAUAUUUAUAGUUUUUUUCGUGUGUGUGUGGAUAGGUUUUCGAUCUUGUGCUCAGAUAUCUAUUUGAUUAAAUAUACUUAUAUACAUGUUUAUAAUUAUAUAAUGAGACACAUAUGUACUUACAUCUUUUAUCGGAUUGAGGACACUUGACUACGUAAUCAUUUUUAUAAGCUGGUUUUGUACAAAACUUGCACACAAGUCCCUUCUUGAACACCCU